This 392-nucleotide ribosomal RNA is filed under the name uncultured bacterium. RNAcentral describes it as "partial 16S ribosomal RNA". It matches the Rfam family "Bacterial small subunit ribosomal RNA", at positions 523 to 918 of the family's 1533-position model. The record is from RNAcentral.
AUACGGAGGAUCCGAGCGUUAUCCGGAUUUAUUGGGUUUAAAGGGUGCGCAGGCGGCCAUUUAAGUCAGCGGUUAAAUCGUGGGGCUCAACCCCAUUCUGCCGUUGAUACUGGGUGGCUUGAUUGCGGUCGAGGUUGGCGGAAUUCGUUGUGUAGCGGGGAAAUGCAUAGAUAUGACGAAGAACACCGAUUGCGUAGGCAGCUGACCAGACCGCAAAUGACGCUCAUGCACGAAAGUGCGGGGAUCGAACAGGAUUAGAUACCCUGGUAGUCCGCACAGUAAACGAUGAAUACUUGUUUUCGGCGAUAUAAUGACGGAGGCAAAGCGAAAGCGAUAAGUAUUCCACCUGGGGAGUACGCCGGCAACGGUGAAACUCAAAUGAAUUGGCGGGG